CAGGUUGUUACGGUGUGUCUCAGGAUACUAAUCUGGAUGAGUGGAGAUGUUCCCGCUGUGAAGCUAAUGCCAUAACUGAGGACUGCUGUUUAUGCUCUCUAAGAGGAGGAGCUCUGCAGAAGGCCAACAAUGACAAGUGGGUUCAUGUAUUAUGUGCCGUAGCAGUGCUGGAGGCUCGCUUCGUGAACAUUGCAGAGCGCAGUCCUGUCGAUCUCAGUAGUAUCCCGCUUCAGAGAUUUAGGCUGGUAGGUUAAUGUUUUGCACAGAAAAGUGAAAUCCC
This is a long non-coding RNA of Sinocyclocheilus grahami, 280 nucleotides long. RefSeq lists it as uncharacterized. The record is from RefSeq and is a predicted model, not a curated record. The transcript has 3 exons. Lineage: Eukaryota; Metazoa; Chordata; Actinopteri; Cypriniformes; Cyprinidae.